RNAcentral lists this long non-coding RNA (2866 nucleotides) under Homo sapiens (human). RNAcentral's name for it is "non-protein coding lnc-CCL20-1:1". The record is from RNAcentral. Lineage: Eukaryota; Metazoa; Chordata; Mammalia; Primates; Hominidae.
CAAGGUAGCCAGGCCCCAUCACUUAAAAACAACAACAACAACAACCAGUGUUAAUGGUCUACCUGCUGGGCCCUCCAAAAACUUAGGGACAUUAUCUGAUGUACCUGUGUUUUCACAGUAUUUACUAUUAAAUGAAGGUAAAGAGUGGCUUCUGGUUGGUUAAAAAACAGUUGAGAAGGAGAUAUUGAAGGUUGUCAAUGGGUAAUAAAACCUGGUUUUAAUACUAUCCUGGGACCCUCUGGUGGAGGCAAGGAAGGAUUCCUGUGGUCUCUCUGCAGAUGUUUUGCUAAAUGAAACCCUGCAACCUGGAACUUCAAAAGUAUCUCAAGACUGGGCGCAAUGGCUUAUGCCUGUAAUCCUAACACUUUGAGAGGCUGAGGCCAGGGGAUUGCUUGAGGCUGGGAGUUCGAAACCAGCGUGGGCAAUACAGUGAAACCCCGUCUCUACUAAAAAUGCAAAAAUUAGCCAGGGGUGGUGGUGUGUGCUUGUAGUCCCAGCUACUGGGGAGGCUGACAAGAUCACUUGCACCCAAGAGGUGGAAGUUGCAGUGAGCCAAGAUCACACCACUGCACUCCAGCCUGGGCGACAGAUUGAGACGCUAUCUCAACAACAACAACAACAAAAAAGGUAUCUCAGAUUAUGUAGUCUCAGAUGGUAUAGCGAUGGGAGCGAUGGUUAAGGAAAAAAUUUUCAGCAGCCCUUCGGCUGUCAACAAGUAUAAACAGUCAGGCAAGAAACAAACAAAAAAACAAAAACAAAAAAACAAACACACAUUAACAAAACCAUUCAAGAGGUGGCCUUCAGCAAAAUUAGCAGACUCCAAUGUAGAAAACCAGGUCAUUUGGGGUGUGUCUGGAGGACAGAGAAAGAAGCCCAGCAUUGCAAUGGAGGUGAUGAGAGCUAUAACUGUUCUGUUUCUGGAUAAGCCCACCACUGGCUUAGAUGUUAGCACAUCAAAUGCACUUCUUCUCCUGAAGAUGACAAGGCAGAGAAGGCCCAUCCUCUUCUCCAUUCCUUAGCCCUGUUAGGCCAUCUUCAAACCUUUUGAUAGCCUUACCUUGCUGGCUUCUGGAAGGGUGAUGUUCCAUGGGUCCUGUAUAAAAAACUUUGAAAUAUUUUGCUCUGCGAGUUACCAGUGUAAAUCCUAUAAAAACUCUGCUGAUUUCUUCACACAUGUUAAUAGAGGCUCCUCUGCUGUGACCUUAAAUAGGAAGCAAGGAGGUGAGAAACCUGGGGAACUUGAAAAGCCUCCCAAACAGGAUAAACAAUGAAUAGAGGAAUUAGCUGAAUUUUAUGUCAAUUGUUCUUUCUACAGGGAAACGAAAUAUGAAUGUAAUGAACUCUCAGUAGGUGAAAAAAGGAGUGAACUUUCUUUGAUCAUCAACUCAGGUGGGUGUCCAAAUGUUUAUUCAAAAAUUGGUUUGGUGAGCAUCAAGACUCCAUUCCUGAAAUAAGAGCCCCAGUUAUCAGACUGGGGCAUCCAGGUUCUUUACUGUGGUUUAAACAAUAGCCCUGCAGGAAUUUAUAAUAGAGGUGGCUUCCUGUUCUAUUUGUCCUGCAACCAAUGCCUGAACAAUGUCUCAGUGGUAUUUCUUCUGGUUCUUGAAAAAAAGCAGUCUGUGCAUGAGUCUACCAGUGGCUAUUUUAGAGUAUCAUCGUAUUUCUUUGGAAAGCUGAUAUCUGACCUACUCCCUGUGAGAAUUUUAUAAAGUGUGAUAUAAUGAGUGCAUUGCAUCUUAUGUUAAGACCGAAGCUGAAGGUGGAAUCUUUCUUUCUUUCUUUCUUUCUUUCUUUCUUUCUUUUUUUUUUUUUUUUGAGAUGGAGUCUCUCCGUGUCUCCCAGGCUGGAGUGCAGUGGCGCGAUCUUGGCUCACUGCAAGCUCCCUCUCCCGGGUUCACGCCAUUUGCCUGCCUCAGCCUCCCGAGUAGCUGGGACUACAGGCGCCCUCCACCACGCCCGGCUAAUUUUUUGUAUUUUUAGUAGAAAUGGGGUUUCACCAUGUUAGCCAGGAUGGUCUCGAUCUCCUGACCUCGUGAUCCACCUGCCUUGCCUCCCAAAGUAUUGGGAUUACAGGCGUGAGCCACUGCGUCCGGCGGCAUCUUUCUUUUUUAAGAUGCCUCCCGGCCGGGCGAGAUGGCUCACGCCUAUAACCCCAGCACUUUGGGAGGCAAGGCAGGCGGAUCACGAGGUCAGGAGAUCGAGACCAUCCUGGCUAACAUGGUGAAACCCCGUCUCUACUAAAAAUACAAAAAAUUAGCCAGGCAUGGUGGCGGGCGCCUGCAGUCCCAGCUACCUGGAAGACUGAGGCAGGAGAAUGGCGUGAACCUGGGAGACGGAGCUUGCAGUGAGCCAAGAUUGCGCCACUGCUCUCCAGCCUGGGCGACAGAGCAAGACUCUAUCUCAAAAAAAAAAAAAAAAAAAAAAGAUGUCUCACUCGUAAGGCUUGCACUGACCUCCAGUGCCUUGGCUCUGGCUCUCGCUGCAGGUCAGAGUGACCCCCUUGGGCUACCCUUCUCUUGACUUUCCCUUUAGCUGAUGAAAAUUAUUUCAGCCCUCUGCGUGAAUCUCAGAACCAGUAGGCCUUGGUUUUCCUGGAUCCAGUAUAUAAGCAUUCCUCAAUACAACCAUAGAGGCUUGCAACAUAAUGACUUUAUGGACCAAAGCUUUAGACUCGGAAUACAUGGGCUACACACACACAAAACCAAGGCCUGUGGAUAUGCCAUGUGUUCUGGGGAAGACUUUUUACAAAACCAAAGAAUUGAGUUGUCCUCUUGGGGUCUAUGAAGGAGUCAUCUGGCCUUGGCAUGUGUGAUGGUGAUUUUCUUAAUUGCCUACUAAUAUGGUUUGGCUGUUCCCCCACCCAAAU